This 253-nucleotide ribosomal RNA is filed under the name uncultured bacterium. Its description in RNAcentral is "partial 16S ribosomal RNA". It matches the Rfam family "Bacterial small subunit ribosomal RNA", at positions 524 to 776 of the family's 1533-position model. The record is from RNAcentral.
UACGGAGGGUCCGAGCGUUAUCCGGAAUCAUUGGGUUUAAAGGGUCCGCAGGCGGUCAAUUAAGUCAGUGGUGAAAGCCUGCAGCUUAACUGUAGAAUUGCCAUUGAAACUGAUAGCCUUGAGUCUGUUCGAGGUGGAUGGAAUGUAUCAUGUAGCGGUGAAAUGCUUAGAUAUGAUACAGAACACCGAUUGCGAAGGCAGUCCACUAGACCAGUACUGACGCUGAGGCACGAAAGCAUGGGUAUCGAACAGG